UGAAGCUUCGCUAGAGUCUCGUUUCUGUCCAUACUUUCGCCUCAGAAUGUCAGUUAUUGUGGGAAACUGAAGUAACCGACUUGAUUGUCACGGAGUACCGUUAUCCGCCACUUCACCGGGGUAACAAACUAAAGCACAUAAACAGAAAAACAAAUUAAAACACACAAAGAAGAUUAAAAUCGUCCUCUUAUUGAAUUUAC
This 200-nucleotide long non-coding RNA is filed under the name Citrus sinensis (sweet orange). Its description in RNAcentral is "long non-coding RNA (CSIN_LNC000828)". The record is from RNAcentral. Lineage: Eukaryota; Viridiplantae; Streptophyta; Magnoliopsida; Sapindales; Rutaceae.